ACAGCAGCCGCCACGGGAAUACGUAGGGUGCAAGCGUUAAUCGGAAUUACUGGGCGUAAAGCGUGCGCAGGCGGUUAUAUAAGACAGAUGUGAAAUCCCCGGGCUCAACCUGGGAACUGCAUUUGUGACUUUAUAGCUAGAGUACGGCAGAGGGGGAUGGAAUUCCGCGUGUAGCAGUGAAAUGCGUAGAUAUGCGGAUGAACACCGAUGGCGAAGGCAAUCCCCUGGGCCUGUACUGACGCUCAUGCACGAAAGCGUGGGGAGCAAACAGGAUUAGAUACCCCCGUAGUCCCUGUCUCUUAUAC
Molecule: ribosomal RNA, 305 nt
Filed under: uncultured bacterium
Lineage: Bacteria
Description: partial 16S ribosomal RNA
Rfam family: Bacterial small subunit ribosomal RNA
Source: RNAcentral